This is a long non-coding RNA of Tigriopus californicus, 3190 nucleotides long. RefSeq lists it as uncharacterized. The record is from RefSeq and is a predicted model, not a curated record. Lineage: Eukaryota; Metazoa; Arthropoda; Copepoda; Harpacticoida; Harpacticidae. The transcript has 3 exons.
AAGACAGCAUUGUCAUAAUUUGUGUGAAUUGUAGUUUGGAAAAUAGACCCACGGAGUCUGCACUGUCCUGACAUGAGCAUGUGUUUAAUUGCAAGGAAUUUGAACAUAUUCAAAGCACAAACCUGGAACAAGAAAAAGUUGAAUCAAGUGAUGUGGGUCUAUCCAUGAAGCACUCUAUAACAGACUUAAAAAGCAGUUCAUGUUUUUUCCUGAAAGAACCAAAAACCAGUGGAAACUAAACUAGCAUGCUGAUUACGAUGGCCUUGAUCAAGCAAAUAAUGAAUGAGUUAGGCGUCAUUGUAUUUACGAUAGAGAGAAUUCUUAACGAGGACAACAAAGGUUGGCUAUCAUUUUCCAAAUCGAACAUUUUGCACAAUUUCCAAUGGUUCUUAACAAAGAUUCAAUGAUAUGACAACUGAAGAAAUAUUUCUUACCUCUGCUAAAAAGUGUAUUAGCGGCAAUCAUUAGUUCAUUUAAUAAUCAAUUGGUACAGUUUGGCAUCCUAGAGCGUAUCUCGAGGUUUUUUCGGUUGUUUGACCACACCUAGACGAAGCAGAGGGCGCCUCCAUCGCUCCAUACAAAGGACCAUCAACACAGAAAAUAUAUAAGUGUUAUUUGGCUAUUAAUAUGAUUAUUUUGAGACUUAUUCAAAGCCAGUUUUGGUCUUCUGUGCUUCAGGCCUCAACAUCUCUUACUUUAAGAUAAAUUGCAAAUAAAUGCCAACUGCACGUAGGGGUUACUAUGAAUUAAUUCCAUAUCAUCAAUAAAAAUUAGAAUUCCUAACCGGUUAGCCUAUUACUGAUCUUGUUAAAGAGUAACACGAAUAUCGUCCAUUACAACAUAAUCCAGCUUCAGUGAAAUCGAAGAAGGGACAAAUAGGAUUCAAACAUCAAUUUAUCACCAAAUGUGCGCACAGCCACUUUGCAAUAACUCAUUAACAUAUUAAAUACAUUUUUGAUCUCACGCACCCAGAUGAGUUUUUUGGUUACCUUAUGUGGUACUUUAUUGGCUCAAACUAAUAUAUUAGGUCACUUAAAGCUCAUUGAAAAUGACUAUUUUAGAGACAAAAUGGUAUGAAUGUUCUUAAUAUACCUUGUUUGGCAUUUUGCUGCAAUCUUAUUAAAAUCAAUGCCAUUUUAAAGAAGCCCUUUCGAUCAAUUUUGCUCCAAGGUUCUAAUCACGCUUUGAAAAGGAAAACCAAACUACUUAACAAUGUGAAGCAACGAUCUUGAACAAACAGUAACAUAAUAAGAUUGACAUCAGGCUAAAUACGUCUUGUCAUCCGAUGUCCACUCUUUUAACAGUUGUUCUUGCUACUAAAACGUCAGCCGUCAGUUUUUUUGCCACUUACUUAACCGCCGGAGAGGUUUUAAGGAGCAAUUUUCUGCUUACGUACCAUCAAAUUGCCUCAAAAUUACCAUCAUUUCCUAUUCCUCCGUCAACGAGACAACACCCAGCCCCAAGUUUCGGAGCUUCCAAAUUCGUCCAAUAUAAUUUCAAGCUUCCUGCCAUUCCUUACAAGUCACUUGCCGGUACAACAUCUCCUCUUCAAAAAUGUUGACAAUCAUGGCAACAAAGACGCAAAUUUUGCUCUUUUCUCUUGUGGUAAUGAAUUAUCUUUCAGUUGAUGGUGCAGAUAAUUCCACUCAGAGGGUUGGAAAAGCAUUGAGCGUUUUCAACAUCAUUCGGCAAGUGACUAAUUUUAGAUGUCGUUUCGUUUAAGAAUCCUUAACACGUUACUUUUAAGUUAGAUUACGAGUUUUUGGUAUUUGUUUGUUACAUUGAAUGGGGAUAUUUAUACAAGCUCUAAAAAGCCAUUUAAUUUGUAAGUAUCUGGUGUGAAUUUGUAUUGCAUCCACAUGCGCAUAUGCAGCUGUCCUGCUCUGUCUUUCUCCAUUGCUCUCUCUCUCUCUAUGUCUCUGCCUUUCUCAAGUUUGACAAGUCAAUAUUGUUUAUUGAAUAUAAAAUUGACUUAUUAUCCGUAAAUAUCGGGGUAUGUGGAAAUUUCGUUUUCAUGACCUCAGUGGCUAACCAGAACUUGCGAUAAAGGCUAGUGUAUCGAAUACCAUGGCCAAGGACAGCAGGGCCACAACCACGACCUCUUCCACGGCGGCCUUAGAAAAGUUGGUACAGACUUUCACCAACAACCUCAAAUCAAACAAGAAAAACGGUUUCCAUCCAGACCCUGUGAACAGCUUCCUGGCUGUGUGUUGUGCAUAUCAAUAUCUUAUUAUGUUUGCCACUUUCCUCCAUGUUGUUGAAACCUGUUGUGCAGCAUUGCAGAAGUUUGCGAUUGGCUCCCACUUACUGACCCACCUUCAAUUAUUAUUGGAUUGUUCGUUAACACACUUAGCUCAUUCCAUUUCAUCCAGCCAUUUCAAAGAAUGUGGCGCCACCUUGGCGUGUUCAACAUUGCUAUCCAAUUUGUCUUACACAAUGGCUUCCCACAUUUCACUUUUCGCCUUCACAUUAGACAGGGAUGGAGCCUAAUAAACGCAUAAAUAAAAAGCAUAACAGCUCUCAUUGAAGGUCAAAUCGGUCACGGCCGCAACCAAUCUUGAGAAAGCAAUUCCUCAUACGUAAUCUUCUCCAAUUCAGCCAAACUACCAAUGAUCUUCAAUCAGCCAAAAAAGGUCACAAAAUAAUUAACCUAAAUGUUGUUUCAGCAUGUUGAAGUCUAUAUACAUGAGUUUGGUUUCAGGCUGAAGUAAAAAGUAAAUUGAUGCAUUUUUUCCUAAUUUGCCGUACAUCAGAUUUGAAACAUCCUUUUAAGAAAAUAUACCAAACUAAAUCAGCAAAUACCAAGCAAAAUUUAGAUAUGAAUCACAUUGUAAUUUGAAAUUGUGAAUGAACCAGAGAAUUGAUGAAAAAACAAGUUAAGAGAUAAUAUCCGUCAAUUAUAACGAAAAAACGCUUCAAGUGUUGUAAGAAAGUAAGAACAAAAGGUACAAAAUAGUUCAUAAACAACCCAACAAUUAUUGGUCUUCAUUUCGAAAUCAAUUCUCAGUAGCGGUUACCAAGCAAGAAAAAAAUUCAAGUUCUGGAAAAACUAUUUGCCAAAAUAUAUAGUAUAUGUUAUGAAAAUUUACACCGUUGCUUAUUCAUAUAUAUUUUUUAAUGUAUCUCCCUCAUGUUUUAGAUUCACCAAUGACCCUUGUGCAGGAACAGGCAACAGAAAUGGCACUUGCUA